RNAcentral lists this long non-coding RNA (279 nucleotides) under Homo sapiens (human). RNAcentral's name for it is "HSALNT0173736". The record is from RNAcentral. Lineage: Eukaryota; Metazoa; Chordata; Mammalia; Primates; Hominidae.
UGCCCAAGGAGGAUAAUGGUAACUUGUUACGCCAAACAGACUCAAAGUCUCCCUCUAGAGUGUAAACAGAGAGCUUCAGAGAGAAGCCACCCAACAGAAACCAGGAGCAGGAAUAAGAAAGCAUCAAGAUGCAGAGGACGCAGGAGAAGCAGCAUCUGCACGAUGGGCAGAGGACAGAGGAGAACCAUGGACAGCCUACUUGACUCCUUUAGUGACAAAUUCUCAGAAAUUUUCAGAACUCUGGACAAGGUCUUCCCAGUGAUUCCCAAGGAACCCCUA